Teleopsis dalmanni is the source of this 853-nucleotide long non-coding RNA. RefSeq lists it as uncharacterized. NCBI's taxonomy places the organism in Eukaryota, Metazoa, Arthropoda, Insecta, Diptera, Diopsidae. The transcript is spliced from 3 exons. The record is from RefSeq and is a predicted model, not a curated record.
UUGGUUAUAGCAAGAGUAAACGAACAACAGUACAGACAGUCAGUGUAAAGCGUGUCUGUUGAUAGCAACGUAUGGGAAUAAGCGUGUAUUGAGACCGAAAAACAAAAAAACAUAACGGUCGUUAAAUGUGCUGUGAUGUUUAUAAAUAAAAAAAAUAUUUUGUAUUGAUAAAAAUUCUAUUAAUUAAUAUUGUUCAAUUAUUAAAUUAUAAAUAAAUAAAAAGGAAAAAGCUUUCAAUUUGUGUUGUGUCCUUUUGACGUUUUUCUUUUUUUAAUUUUUUGUUAAAUUUUUGCUGCACAAAAAUAAAAAAUAAAAAAACAAACGAAGGUUAUUCCUGUUUAUUGUGUUUGGCGUAUAUGCUGUGUUGUUGCUGCUGCUGCUUCUUCUUCUUCUACUGAUUGCAGCAUUGUUAUUGUUCUCGCGCAAAAAUACCUUGCGGAGAGAAGCUGUGCUUAAAAUAUUUGUGUUAUUGUUUAAAAAUAAAUACAGAAUUAAUAUAAAAAAAAAAGAAUUUUAUUUUUAUUUAUUUAUUUUUUUUUUUUUUGAAAUAAAUUACGCGCCAAAACUCACAAAAACAACUGUUUUAAUCAGUGCUUCAAAUGGGAGUAACUUUCCACUUCAGUACAUUUCUCCUUACGUCCCUACUUUUAGACGUAUAAAGAAUUCGACGACCUCGACGCUGCUUUUAGAUAGUAAAUUGCACUACAUUGCAUAUAUUUGCAUCAUUUUGAUUGCUGUUGCACACUUAAGGAGGCGAGUGAAGAUCUGGGACUUAAAAUAAUUAAUAAAGGCACCUCUGUUUACUGGACAUCACUUGGUCUUUUUAAAACUAUGCUCAUUAUGGAAUAACAGG